RNAcentral lists this long non-coding RNA (544 nucleotides) under Ornithorhynchus anatinus (platypus). RNAcentral describes it as "lncRNA (ENSOANG00000049780.1)". The record is from RNAcentral. Lineage: Eukaryota; Metazoa; Chordata; Mammalia; Monotremata; Ornithorhynchidae.
UAGUAAUUCUUAGUUUCCAUUUUGAAGCAACAUUAAUAAUCUGGCUCUCUUACGCAUCUGUCCAGGUAUGAGCUUCAGCUGGAGGGCAUAUUGAAUCUGCCAGAAUUUUUCGGCCAGAGCCAGCCUCAAGCUGAUGGAGGACCAAGGAACCAGUCAUCCCACCCGUCCACAUCGUGUGCAGGAAGGGUUUUAUAUUUGCUCCAUUCAUCAUCUCCCGUGGUCCUGGACAGUCUUUCCUGCAGAGUUCUACCUCAGGUUGACAGAUCCGGGCAGUGGAAAAACAGCGAUCCAAACGGAUUGGAAUUUGAUCCAACUGAACCGAUCUUCUUAUUUCUUGAAUGCUUUCUACCCGAAUCCCCGAAUUCACCUGUUUUCCCAAAACCGGCUCAUUCGACUAACUGAGGGUCAGAUUCUCGGCUUUCUGCUUCGUGCGUGCGUGCGCGCAUCUGUGUGUGCGUUGAGAAACUGCCAAGAAUUUUUAUGUGGUCCCAAGUGAGCAGCCUCAGAGUUUUUCACCGAGAAAUCAAUUUGCUCUCUAAGUGCU